Molecule: non-coding RNA, 72 nt
Organism: Phrynosoma platyrhinos (Desert horned lizard)
Lineage: Eukaryota; Metazoa; Chordata; Lepidosauria; Squamata; Phrynosomatidae
Source: the annotation of a GenBank genome assembly
GCCAGAGUGGUGUAGUGGUUUAAGCAAUGGACUAAGCCUCUGUAGACCAGGGUUCAAUUCCUUGCUUGGCCA